UCAAGCUACAAAGGGUUUAUAAUGAAUGACUUGGCAGAUAAAGGCGAUGAAGGACGUGGAAAGCUGCGAUAAGCCUCGGGGAGCCGCAAUUGGCUUUGAUCCGGGGAUCUCCGAAUGGGGCAACCCCAUCAGGGUCAUACCUGAUGAUCUCCUGCUGAAUACAUAGGCAGGCUGAAGCUAUACCAGGUGAACUGAAACAUCUAAGUAACCUGAGGAAAAGAAACCGAAUGGGAUUCUCUUAGUAGCGGCGAGCGAAGAGAGAACAGGCUAAACCGACAAGCUUGCUUGUCGGGGUUGCGGGACCUUAAUGUGGGAUUGUGAUGGAAUAGCAGAAGUGUUUGAAAAAACACGCCAUAGACUGUGAGAGCCAGGUAUGCGAAAUUCCAAAGCACCCUAGAGGCAUCCCAAGUACUGCCGGGCACGGGAAAUCUGGCAGGAAUCUGGCCCGACCAUGGGCUAAGCCUAAAUACUCAAUCUGACCGAAAGUGGACAAGUACCGUGAGGGAAAGUUGAAAAGAACCCCGGGAGGGGAGUGAAAUAGAACCUGAAAUUAUAAACCUACAAGCGGUUGGAGGCCUAUGCAUAUCUUCGGAUAUGAACGGCUGACAGCGUACCUUUUGCAUAAUGGACCAACGAGUUAUUAUGUCUUGCAAGCUUAAGCACCUUUGGUGUGUAGGCGUAGGGAAACCGAGUCUGAAUAGGGCGAAUAAGUAGCACAUAAUAGACCCGAAACCACGUGAUCUAUCCAUGGCCAGGUUGAAGCUUAUCGAAAGAUAAGUGGAGGACCGAACCCAUUGUCGUUGAAAAGACUCGGGAUGAGCUGUGGAUCGGAGUGAAAGGCUAGUCAAACGUGGCAAUUGCUGGUUCUCCCCGAAAUAGUUCUAGGACUAGCUUCGAGGAAAUACCGAACAGGGGUAGAGUUACUGAAUAGACUAGGGGCCUUACCGGGCUGCCAAAUCUAACCAAACUCCGAAUACUGUUCGGCUUAUCUCGGAAGUCAGAGCAAGAGGGCUAAGCUUCUUGCUCGAGAGGGAAACAGCCCAGACCAUCAACUAAGGUCCCAAAUAUAGACUAAGUGGUAAAGGAAGUGAGAUCACGUAGACAGCCAGGAUGUUGGCUUAGAGGCAGCCAUCAUUUAAAGAGUGCGUAACAGCUCACUGGUCGAGUGAUUUCGCGCCGAAAAUGAUCGGGGCUCAAGUCUAUAACCGAAGUUAUGGCUUUGUUUAUCUUCGGAUAAACAAGGGGUAGGGGAGCGUAGUGCUAUGCGUUGAAGGCAUACUGAAAAGAAUGCUGGAGUUAGCACUAGUGAUACUGUUGGUAUGAGUAGCGAAAACUAUAGCGAGAAACUAUAGCAUCGAAAAUCUAAGGUUUCCUGGGGAAGGUUAAUCCGCCCAGGGUUAGUCGAUCCUAAGCAGAGGCCGAAAGGCGUACGCGAUGGAUAUCAGGUUAAUAUUCCUGAACUGACUACAAAGCGUUAUCACCUUAAUGUGACGGGGAAGGUUAUGCAAGCAGAGUGUUGGAUGUCUCUGUCUAAGGCCGUAGUUCUUGUCGUAAGACAGGGAUGAGAACUGAUGGGGAGCUCAAACGCAAGUGCGAGCGAAGUUGCAGAUACCAUGCUUCCAAGAAAAACCAUUAAGGGAGUGAUGUAGUCAAUCGUACCGGAAUCCGACACAGGUAGAUAGGCUGAAUAAGCCAAGAUGCUCGAGAGAAUCCUCCUUAAGGAACUAGGCAAAAUCACCCCGUAACUUCGGGAGAAGGGGUGCCUGAUUCGUGUAGUGCUCCGCGCAUGAAGCGAUGAUGGCCACAGUAAAGAGGCUCGGGUGACUGUUUAGUAAAAACACAUCACUCUGCAAAGUCGUAAGACGACGUAUAGGGUGUGACACCUGCCCGGUGCUGGAAGGUUAAGGGGAGUGGUCAGGCGCAAGCCGAAGCUACGAACUGAAGCCCCAGUAAACGGCGGCCGUAACUAUAACGGUCCUAAGGUAGCGAAAUUCCUUGUC
Molecule: ribosomal RNA, 2000 nt
Filed under: soil metagenome
Description: bacterial LSU rRNA
Rfam family: Bacterial large subunit ribosomal RNA
Source: RNAcentral